This 228-nucleotide unclassified non-coding RNA is filed under the name fungal sp. Its description in RNAcentral is "partial internal transcribed spacer region". The stretch from base 1 to 46 matches the Rfam family "Eukaryotic small subunit ribosomal RNA", at positions 1786 to 1831 of the family's 1831-position model. Lineage: Eukaryota; Fungi. The record is from RNAcentral.
AAGUCGUAACAAGGUCUCCGUUGGUGAACCAGCGGAGGGAUCAUUACCGAGUUAUUACUCCAAACCCUCUGUGAACCUUACCUUUUUUGUUGCUCGGCGCCUCGCGGGCCGCGGGCUUCGGCCCGUCCCGCAGGCGCCAGAGGACCCAACUCUUCCAUUUUACAGUUUACCUUCUGAUUUACCAAACAAACAAUUAAAACUUUCAACAACGGAUCUCUUGGUUCUGGC